CUAACAGCGCUCCCGUUUCCUUGAGACAGCUGCAGGCAGGAACCCUAAAGCAGCAGAGUGCCAGAACCCUCAAGAGGUGCAGGCAGUACCCCUGGUGCUAGGGCCAGCCAGGAAGCGAUACUGACCAGGAGACGACAUCCUGGCAAUGGCAGGAACUUUCCAGAUGGCGAGGCGGCCUUCCUUCGCACCCCGUGUGGAUCCACCCUGCCGGGCAUGCGAGAGCUGAGUCGAAGGCUACGACCCGCGGAAAGGAUGAAAGCAGGGUGCCGGGACGGGACAUGUGACCUGGGAUUUUUGAGUCAGCUUUGGGGACGGGGAGGUCCAGGCUGUGGCCCCUUAGGCCGCACGGUGGGAGAGCCUCACUUUUGUUCACAGUGCUGAGGUGUGCAGGACAGAGCAGCCUCGGGGCGCGUCGUGUCACUUGUCCGUCGUGCCUUCUGUGUCUUUUGUGCCUCUUGUGUUGUACGUGCCUUGCCCUAUCUCUUCUGGGGGCUUGCCAGAAACCCCAGCAUCACACUUAUAGCAUCUCCAAUCUCUGGGCUCCUCGGCUCGGCAGCUCUCAGAGGCCUCGGAAUCGCGUCUCUUUUGAAAAGCAUCCGAUCGGAUGUCUUUUAGAUGUCUUGUUCCGAGCUGUGUCAACAGCCGUGCGCCGCGAGGAUCCAUUGUUGCGGCUUAGGACUUGAAGAAACGCAAAGAUAGGUAGA
Non-coding RNA from Cyanistes caeruleus (blue tit), 704 nucleotides. The record is from RefSeq and is a predicted model, not a curated record. NCBI's taxonomy places the organism in Eukaryota, Metazoa, Chordata, Aves, Passeriformes, Paridae.